UGGAAGACUCCGUUACAGAACCAGCUGGUGACAAUACCUUGCAGGCUGAGGCUGGGUUCUCUGGAACGCUGUGUAUGUGCCGAAUCAGCAUCCUGUGUGGGGUAGUAUCUCCCAGCAGCCAGGAUCCAUGGAUACAGGUGUCAAGGCGUGGGGAGUCUGUGCAUCGCAGUGUCCAGUGCUGACUCGGUGACCUGGCCUUUAAGUACCGGUCAUUUCACAUCCCAGUGUUUAAGCUACAGGGUUUUCCAGGUUUUCCUCCCAGCGGACGGGCAGCUUCAGAUGCUGUGUGUGCCACUUGGACGUCGCAGUGAAUUGAACGCUUAGAAGAAGAGUAAAGGGCACCCACGGACUUUUCUCCUCCUCCAGGGAAGAGGUGAGUUUUCAGGGAUACGCAGGGAAGCGGGACCAGGUUAGGUGAAAUUGUGACCUUGUUAGAUUGUUUUUCAUUGGAGAGGAAACGUGGUUUAAGGAGCGCAGUACGGGGGCCAGGCUGACACGGGUGGGUUUGUAAUAGGUGAAUGUAUGUGUCAACCUGACUGGAUCAGAGGAUACGCAGAAAUCUGUCUGAACGUCAUUUCUAGGUCUGUCUGUGAGGGUGUUUGCAGAUGAAAUUAGUAUGGGAAUCAGCAGACCUGGCGAAGCAGGCUGUCCUCUUCUCCGUGGCUCUGCGUUAUCCAGUCCAUCGAGGGCCUGAGUAGAAGAAAAAGGCAGAGGAGGGAGGAAUUCUCCCCUCCCCAGAUUUCUGCCUCGCUGCUUGAGCUGGGUCAUCUCACCUCAUCUGCUGCUGCCUUCAGCCUGGGGUUUUACCUCGUUGGCUCCUCUUGAUUCUCAGGCCUUUGGACUCUGACUGAAUUGUGCCAGUGGCUUUUCUGGGUCUCCCCUUUGCAGAUUGCACGUUAUGGGACUUCUCAGCCUCUGUACCCACACCACAUAAGCUAGUUCCUCAAAACGGAUCUUUCAUAUCCUCUUGGUACUAUUGUUUCUGAAGACCUCUGACUGAUAGAAACCUGGAGAUUUCUUCUGAAGGUUGUAAUUAUAAAUUUCAAUACUUGGGUAAUUAUCAGAUGAUUCAUCUUGGAUGAAGUUUCGUAGUUUCAAAUCGGUGUCGGGUAAUUCCGCUAUCUGUGUUAACUUCCUGUCGAUGUGGUGAU
Molecule: long non-coding RNA, 1151 nt
Filed under: Sus scrofa (pig)
Lineage: Eukaryota; Metazoa; Chordata; Mammalia; Artiodactyla; Suidae
Description: lncRNA (ENSSSCG00040027827.1)
Source: RNAcentral